GAUGAACGCUGGCGGCGUGCCUAAUACAUGCAAGUCGAGCGAACGGACGAGAAGCUUGCUUCUCUGAUGUUAGCGGCGGACGGGUGAGUAACACGUGGAUAACCUACCUAUAAGACUGGGAUAACUUCGGGAAACCGGAGCUAAUACCGGAUGAUAUUUUGAACCGCAUGGUUCAAAAGUGAAAGACGGUCUUGCUGUCACUUAUAGAUGGAUCCGCGCUGCAUUAGCUAGUUGGUAAGGUAACGGCUUACCAAGGCAACGAUGCAUAGCCGACCUGAGAGGGUGAUCGGCCACACUGGAGCUGAGACACGGUCCAGACUACUACGGGAGGCAGCAGUAGGGAAUCUUCCGCAAUGGGCGAAAGCCUGACGGAGCAACGCCGCGUGAGUGAUGAAGGUCUUCGGAUCGUAAAACUCUGUUAUUAGGGAAGAACAUAUGUGUAAGUAACUGUGCACAUCUUGACGGUACCUAAUCAGAAAGCCACGGCUAACUACGUG
This 497-nucleotide ribosomal RNA is filed under the name uncultured bacterium. Its description in RNAcentral is "partial 16S ribosomal RNA". It matches the Rfam family "Bacterial small subunit ribosomal RNA", at positions 28 to 507 of the family's 1533-position model. The record is from RNAcentral.